This 492-nucleotide ribosomal RNA is filed under the name uncultured bacterium. RNAcentral describes it as "partial 16S ribosomal RNA". It matches the Rfam family "Bacterial small subunit ribosomal RNA", at positions 29 to 507 of the family's 1533-position model. The record is from RNAcentral.
AGUGAACGCUGGCGGUAGGCCUAACACAUGCAAGUCGAACGGCAGCACAGUAAGAGCUUGCUCUUACGGGUGGCGAGUGGCGGACGGGUGAGGAAUACAUCGGAAUCUACUUUUUCGUGGGGGAUAACGUAGGGAAACUUACGCUAAUACCGCAUACGACCUACGGGUGAAAGCAGGGGAUCUUCGGACCUUGCGCGAUUGAAUGAGCCGAUGUCGGAUUAGCUAGUUGGCGGGGUAAAGGCCCACCAAGGCGACGAUCCGUAGCUGGUCUGAGAGGAUGAUCAGCCACACUGGAACUGAGACACGGUCCAGACUCCUACGGGAGGCAGCAGUGGGGAAUAUUGGACAAUGGGCGCAAGCCUGAUCCAGCCAUACCGCGUGGGUGAAGAAGGCCUUCGGGUUGUAAAGCCCUUUUGUUGGGAAAGAAAGGCAGCAGGUUAAUACCCCGCUGUUCUGACGGUACCCAAAGAAUAAGCACCGGCUAACCUCGUG